Xenia sp. Carnegie-2017 is the source of this 121-nucleotide long non-coding RNA. RefSeq lists it as uncharacterized. The record is from RefSeq and is a predicted model, not a curated record. The transcript is spliced from 2 exons. Lineage: Eukaryota; Metazoa; Cnidaria; Anthozoa; Malacalcyonacea; Xeniidae.
AUAUUAUAAUUUUAUGGCAGAUGUAAACACAAGUAAGAAGAUGGAUUAACUGGUUCCUGUUUGCAUAAAGAUGGCUUUGAGUUCAUUUGGGCCGGAGCUAGAGCUACACAUGGCGUAUCAA